UGGGGGAAUAUUGGGCAAUGGACGCAAGUCUGACCCAGCAACGCCGCGUGAAGGAAGAAGGCUUUUCGGGUUGUAAACUUCUUUUAAGAGGGAACAGCAGAAGAGGGUACCUCUUGAAUAAGCCACGGCUAACUACGUGCCAGCAGCCGCGGUAAUACGUAGGUGGCAAGCGUUGUCCGGAUUUACUGGGUGUAAAGGGCGUGUAGCCGGGAGGGCAAGUCAGAUGUGAAAUCCACGGGCUUAACUCGUGAACUGCAUUUGAAACUGUUCUUCUUGAGUAUCGGAGAGGCAAUUGGAAUUCCUAGUGUAGCGGUGAAAUGCGUAGAUAUUAGGAGGAACACCAGUGGCGAAGGCGGAUUGCUGGACGACAACUGACGGUGAGGCGC
This 386-nucleotide ribosomal RNA is filed under the name uncultured Oscillibacter sp. RNAcentral describes it as "bacterial SSU rRNA". It matches the Rfam family "Bacterial small subunit ribosomal RNA", at positions 354 to 754 of the family's 1533-position model. The record is from RNAcentral. Lineage: Bacteria; Bacillati; Bacillota; Clostridia; Eubacteriales; Oscillospiraceae.